AGAGUUUGAUCCUGGCUCAGAACGAACGCUGGCGGCAGGCUUAACACAUGCAAGUCGAACGCUUGGAGCAAUCCAGGAGUGGCAGACGGGUGAGUAACACGUGGGAACAUACCCUUUGGUACGGAACAACUCGGGGAAACUCGAGCUAAUACCGUAUACGGCCGAGAGGCGAAAGAUUGAUCGCCGAAGGAUUGGCCCGCGUCCGAUUAGCUAGUUGGUGAGGUAAUGGCUCACCAAGGCGACGAUCGGUAGCUGGUCUGAGAGGAUGGCCAGCCACAUUGGGACUGAGACACGGCCCAAACUCCUACGGGAGGCAGCAGUGGGGAAUAUUGGACAAUGGGCGCAAGCCUGAUCCAGCCAUGCCGCGUGAGUGAUGAAGGCCUUAGGGUUGUAAAGCUCUUUCGUCAGGGACGAUAAUGACGGUACCUGAAGAAGAAGCCCCGGCUAACUUCGUG
This 455-nucleotide ribosomal RNA is filed under the name uncultured Alphaproteobacteria bacterium. RNAcentral's name for it is "bacterial SSU rRNA". It matches the Rfam family "Bacterial small subunit ribosomal RNA", at positions 8 to 507 of the family's 1533-position model. The record is from RNAcentral. Lineage: Bacteria; Pseudomonadati; Pseudomonadota; Alphaproteobacteria.